CAAACGGCCCUUUUCAGGGCCACCAUACUAGCACGAAAAAUAUUGU
Non-coding RNA from Strongylocentrotus purpuratus (purple sea urchin), 46 nucleotides. NCBI's taxonomy places the organism in Eukaryota, Metazoa, Echinodermata, Echinoidea, Camarodonta, Strongylocentrotidae. The record is from Rfam.